Pongo pygmaeus (Bornean orangutan) is the source of this 408-nucleotide non-coding RNA. The record is from the annotation of a RefSeq genome assembly. Lineage: Eukaryota; Metazoa; Chordata; Mammalia; Primates; Hominidae.
CUAGUCUUCUCACCACUGCAGACCAGAACCCUGCCCUGGGCCUUGCCUGGUCUGCCUGACUCUGCCAUGGGCUGCAGGCUUCUCUGCUGUGUGGCCCUCUGCCUCCUCCAAGCAGGUUCCUUGGACACAGCUGUUUCCCAGACUCCAAAAUACCUGGUCACACAGAUGGGAAACAACAAGUCCCUUAAAUGUGAACAAAAUCUGGACCAUAAUGCUAUGUAUUGGUAUAAGCAGGACUCCAAGAAAUUUCUGAAGAUAAUGUUUAGCUACAAUAAUAAGGAGCUCAUUAUAAAUGAAACAGUUCCAAAUCGCUUCUCACCUGACUCUCCAGACAAAGCUCAUUUAAAUCUUCACAUCAAGUCCCUGGAACUUGGUGACUCUGCUGUGUAUUUCUGUGCCAGCAGCUAA